RNAcentral lists this small RNA (63 nucleotides) under Cavia aperea (Brazilian guinea pig). RNAcentral's name for it is "Y RNA (ENSCAPG00000004572.1)". The record is from RNAcentral. Lineage: Eukaryota; Metazoa; Chordata; Mammalia; Rodentia; Caviidae.
AGUGGGUUAUCAGAGCUUAUUAACAUUAGUGUCACUAAAGUUGGUAUACCACCACCCCCCACU